RNAcentral lists this unclassified non-coding RNA (884 nucleotides) under Hevea brasiliensis (rubber tree). Lineage: Eukaryota; Viridiplantae; Streptophyta; Magnoliopsida; Malpighiales; Euphorbiaceae. The record is from RNAcentral.
ACUGUUCCCGUUGUAGGAUCGAUUGGCUUCAGAGGGAUGGCAUCCUUCUUCUCGAGCUUGAUAGGGUGCUUAGACCUGGAGGCUAUUUUGCCUAUUCAUCUCCCGAAGCAUAUGCACAGGAUGAAGAGGAUCUCAGAAUAUGGAAGGAAAUGAGCACGCUUGUUGAAAGAAUGUGUUGGAGAAUUGCUGCCAAACAAAACCAAACUGUUAUAUGGGCCAAGCCUCUAACAAAUGAUUGUUACAUGAACAGAGAGCCAGGUACUCGGCCUCCUCUAUGCAAAUCUGGUGAUGAUCCAGAUGCUGUAUGGGGUGUACCAAUGGAAGCAUGCAUUACUCCUUACUCUGAACAGAAUAAUAGAGAUCAGGGAAGUGGCUUGGCUCCUUGGCCUGCUCGAUCAACUUCACCUCCUCCCCGUCUAGCGGAUUUUGAUUAUUCCAGUGAAAUGUUUGAAAAGGACACGGAGAGUUGGCAGCAUAGGGUUGAUAAUUAUUUCAGCCUUCUAGGUUCGAAGUUAAGGCCAAAUACCAUUAGGAACAUUAUGGAUAUGAAGGCGAACUUGGGUUCGUUCGCAGCUUCUCUCAGAGAUAAGGAUGUUUGGGUGAUGAAUGUGGUAUCACCGGAUGGACCAAACACCCUCAAGAUCAUCUACGACAGAGGCCUGAUAGGCUCCGUGCAUGAUUGGUGUGAGGCAUACUCAACCUAUCCCAGAACAUAUGACCUCCUCCACGCAUGGACUGUCUUUUCCGACAUCGAGAAGAAAGAAUGCAGCCCUGAGGACCUGUUGCUGGAGAUGGAUCGCAUGCUCAGACCCACAGGUUUCAUCAUCAUCAGGGACAAGCAAUCAGUUGUAGAUUUGAUAAAGAAGUAUCUACCUGCAUUGCAC